CCCUUAGAUGUUCGGGGCCGCACGCGCGCUACACUGAAGGAAUCAGCACGUCUUUCUCCUUGUCCGAAAGGACUGGGUAACCCGCUGAACCUCCUUCGUGCUAGGGAUUGGGGCUUGUAAUUCUUCCCCAUGAACGAGGAAUUCCCAGUAAGCGCGAGUCAUAAGCUCGCGUUGAUUACGUCCCUGCCCUUUGUACACACCGCCCGUCGCUACUACCGAUUGGAUGGUUUAGUGAGAUCCUCGGAUUGGUCCCGGCGCGGCCUCUGGUCGUGCCGGAGUGCCGAAAAGGAUGUCGAACUUGAUCAUCUAGAGGAAGUAAAAGUCGUAACA
RNAcentral lists this ribosomal RNA (330 nucleotides) under uncultured eukaryote. RNAcentral's name for it is "partial 18S ribosomal RNA". It matches the Rfam family "Eukaryotic small subunit ribosomal RNA", at positions 1470 to 1796 of the family's 1831-position model. The record is from RNAcentral.